GUUGCACCUGUUGCCCAUGUGCUAAUCAAACCCAUGUGACCGGGGAGGAGAGGACUCAGGUGCAGCUUAUAAGGCUUUGGGGUAGCCUUUGCUCCUGUUUGCUGGUGGAAUACAGUAGUGUUUUGUCCAAGCUCUGUUUUUGUGUGGAGGAGUUGAUGCUUAGGAUCCUUAGAUAGCAGUUUGAGUUGCACCUGUUGCCCAUGUGCUAAUCAAACCCAUGUGACCGGGGAGGAGAGGACUCAGGUGCAGCUUAUAAGGCUUUGGGGUAGCCUUUGCUCCUGUUUGCUGGUGGAAUACAGUAGUGUUUUGUCCAAGCUCUGUUUUUGUGUGGAGGAGUUGAUGCUUAGGAUCCUUAGAUAGCAGUUUGAGUUGCACCUGUUGCCCAUGUGCUAAUCAAACCCAUGUGACCGGGGAGGAGAGGACUCAGGUGCAGCUUAUAAGGCUUUGGGGUAGCCUUUGCUCCUGUUUGCUGGUGGAAUACAGUAGUGUUUUGUCCAAGCUCUGUUUUUGUGUGGAGGAGUUGAUGCUUAGGAUCCUUAGAUAGCAGUUUGAGUUGCACCUGUUGCCCAUGUGCUAAUCAAACCCAUGUGACCGGGGAGGAGAGGACUCAGGUGCAGCUUAUAAGGCUUUGGGGUAGCCUUUGCUCCUGUUUGCUGGUGGAAUACAGUAGUGUUUUGUCCAAGCUCUG
Molecule: long non-coding RNA, 688 nt
Organism: Toxotes jaculatrix (banded archerfish)
Lineage: Eukaryota; Metazoa; Chordata; Actinopteri; Toxotidae
Exons: 7
Source: RefSeq, a predicted model, not a curated record